This 458-nucleotide ribosomal RNA is filed under the name uncultured bacterium. RNAcentral's name for it is "partial 16S ribosomal RNA". It matches the Rfam family "Bacterial small subunit ribosomal RNA", at positions 338 to 795 of the family's 1533-position model. The record is from RNAcentral.
CCUACGGGUGGCAGCAGUGGGGAAUAUUGCACAAUGGGGGAAACCCUGAUGCAGCGACGCCGCGUGAGUGAAGAAGCGUUUCGGCGCGUAAAGCUCUGUCAGCGGGGAAGAAACACGGUUCGCGAGAGCCGCGGACGGUACCCGACCAAGAAGCCGCGGCUAACGACGUUCCAGCAGCCGCGGUAAUACGGAGGGGGCAAGCGUUAUCCGGAUUCCCUGGGGGUAAAGGGAGCGUAGACGGCGAGACAAGUCUGGAGCGAAAGGCCGGGGCCCAACCCCGGGACUGCACUGGAUACUGGCUGGCUGGAGUGCAGGAGAGGUAAGUGGAAUUCCUGGUGUAGCGGUGAAAUGCGUAGAUAUUAGGAGGAACACCAGUGGCGAAGGCGGCUUACUGGACUGUAACUGACGUUGAGGCUCGAAAGCGUGGGGAGCAAACAGGAUUAGAUACCCUAGUAGUC